CCUACGGGAGGCAGCAGUGGGGAAUAUUGCACAAUGGGGGGAACCCUGAUGCAGCGACGCCGCGUGAGUGAAGAAGUAUUUCGGUAUGUAAAGCUCUAUCAGCAGGGAAGAAAAUGACGGUACCUGACUAAGAAGCCCCGGCUAACUACGUGCCAGCAGCCGCGGUAAUACGUAGGGGGCAAGCGUUAUCCGGAUUUACUGGGUGUAAAGGGAGCGCAGACGGCUGUGCAAGUCUGGAGUGAAAGGCGGGGGCCCAACCCCCGGACUGCUCUGGAAACUGUAAAGCUGGAGUGCAGGAGAGGUAAGCGGAAUUCCUAGUGUAGCGGUGAAAGGCGUAGAUAUUAGGAGGAACACCAGUGGCGAAGGCGGCUUACUGGACUGCAACUGACGUUGAGGCUCGAAAGCGUGGGGAGCAAACAGGAUUAGAUACCCUGGUAGUC
RNAcentral lists this ribosomal RNA (440 nucleotides) under uncultured bacterium. Its description in RNAcentral is "partial 16S ribosomal RNA". It matches the Rfam family "Bacterial small subunit ribosomal RNA", at positions 338 to 795 of the family's 1533-position model. The record is from RNAcentral.